ACCUUAACGACCUUGUUCCAGCACCAGCGAAUGUGGCCAUUUUCUGGGGUCUGCUGGGACCAGGUGGCUUCAACCGUCUCUACCAAACGUCCUUCCAGCAGUGGAACCGCUUUUCCCGGUGUGGCCAGCGAGAACCCACUCGGUUCCUGAGGAUUCGCCCUUCCCACCAGAGCACCGCCAGGUACCCAUACCACAGUGCCUAUCUCCCCAGCUUUAAGGUCAUUGAGGAGGCACGUUUCUACAAGGGCCAUUCCUACCUACCACAAUGAGGCCAUGACCACUCUCAGAAGGCUGGACAGAAGCAUGUUUGAGAUCUUCCACUCAUGAUGGCGCUGCUAGUCUACGUGGGUGGAUUGUUGCGGUGCUGUUCAGUGCGCAUGUGCAUGCGUGGGAGUGGUGAAAAUGGUGCCACCCAGCCACCCGGUCUGUUCUCCCGGAUCAGCAGUCGCACACCGGUCCUCCGUCUUCAGCUCUCGUCCACUCCCCGCUUUUCCACUCUCCGUGACCAGGCCCCAGGCAGUACCUCUCUCCCAAAUUUGUCUCAGAUGCGGCUGUUUUCCCUGGCCCCUUACUUCUGAAGGACUGUGGCUUUGACCCGCUCCACCCCUCUGCAAGAGGGUCUCACCGAGAGAUGGCCAAAUGAGUGAUGGCCAAAUGUCAGCUGUACCCAGGAACGCCCACUGGACCCUGCUGUUGCCGGUGCCCCAAGACUGCGGCCAGGUGCCAGCCCGCCACCCCCAAAACUCGCGAGACA
This is a long non-coding RNA of Prionailurus viverrinus (fishing cat), 754 nucleotides long. RefSeq lists it as uncharacterized. NCBI's taxonomy places the organism in Eukaryota, Metazoa, Chordata, Mammalia, Carnivora, Felidae. The transcript is spliced from 3 exons. The record is from RefSeq and is a predicted model, not a curated record.